AACAGAAAGAAUUACUUACUGGGGAACCGAGUUAAAAACGAAAGAAGUGAAGAUUGGUCAUCUCUGCAGAGGAAAUUACAAGGUCUUUCUCAGAAGAAACAGCUGCAUAAUGUGGAAUCAGUUGUGUGAAAUUCUGUUGGCAAGGCCUUUGACUUUCAACUUCUGCUGGAUCCAGCUGAGUGAUCAAAGAGAGAACUUUUGCAGAUCCCCACAUCAGUGAUGCUGAAAGCCAGGGCAGAUGGCUUCCAUCCCCCUGCAGUGUGACCAACUGCCCUCUGGGCAAGAUUUGCUGAGUGAAACAACUCUCCUUGAUCUGUGUGGGGCUGAUGGAUGCAGCAUUUAUUGCGUUCUUUAACUAGCAAAAGAGUUUUUUAUCUUCUAGAUUGUCACCAAGCAAUUCAGCUGUCUGGGAAUACAGCCUGUGCUUUCUGUGAUCAGAGUGUGACUGUCCUUUGGGGUGAGGUAGUAGGUUGUAUAGUUUUAGGGCUAUGCCCUGCCUGUCAGAUAACUAUACAAUCUACUGUCUUUCCUGAAGUGGCUGUGAUGUCAGCGCUGGAUGUCUCCAAAAGACUACGCAGAUAUUUUUCAACUGUAUCUGGGCUCUGUCUACAUGUUUGGUUCUUGUACACAAAUGUCCUUAGAGUGUUUAGAUUCCUGUAUUUCUCAUUCAGGCUCCAAAUCCAUUUCCUUCUGGCAUUUUUGGAGAGCAGGUGGGGUAUGAGUGCCAGGACACAGAGGUGCAACCCAGUCCACAGUGGAUUUGCUCACACACAGCUGUCUGGGACUGCCAUGGGAGUGGCCACUUGGAAAUAGCUGAUCCAUUUCUCCCUUGUUUUCUGCUGUUUGUAUUCAUAUUGAACAUAAAAAUGGUUCUUUUGAUUCAGCAGCUGUUUAAAUCCACUUGGUGUAGGCUGUUUGAGAAACUACAAAGGGAGGAGCUGGACAAAACCCUAAGAGGAUGUCUUCCAGUCAGUCGUGUCCUGCCCUGGAACUGGUAAAUUCUUGAACCCUAAGUAAGAGGUCUCUUCAGUCAGUUUUGGACACUGAUUUAACUAUUUUUUAUUAAAUAUUGCUAGUUUGGGAGGGACAGUCUUUGCCACUGCAGUUCUCCUGUCUCUGGAAUCCCUCCACCAGUUCUGUGUGACUCCCAGGCAGAGCUGUGGGGAAGGGCUGAGAGGUCACACAUGGCCUUUCUAAGGCUAAGAAAUGUGUGGGCUGAGAGUGAUAAGGUAAUUUACUUACAAAUAGUGAAACGUUUCCUUCAGAAGAUGCACGUGAUGCUAUAACAGGAUGAGGUAGUAGGUUGUGUGGUUUCAGGGUAGUGAUUUUGCCCCAAUCAGGAGAUAACUAUACAACCUACUGCCUUCCCUGAUAGGCAGCAUAACAACAUCAGUGUCUUAAUUCACAGAGAAACAAGAGCUAAAAUACA
Poecile atricapillus (Black-capped chickadee) is the source of this 1429-nucleotide long non-coding RNA. RefSeq lists it as uncharacterized. The record is from RefSeq and is a predicted model, not a curated record. The transcript has 4 exons. NCBI's taxonomy places the organism in Eukaryota, Metazoa, Chordata, Aves, Passeriformes, Paridae.